Leptopilina heterotoma is the source of this 2879-nucleotide RNA transcript. RefSeq lists it as uncharacterized. The record is from RefSeq and is a predicted model, not a curated record. NCBI's taxonomy places the organism in Eukaryota, Metazoa, Arthropoda, Insecta, Hymenoptera, Figitidae. The transcript has 4 exons.
UUCAAAAUUUUAUCAACUUUCAAAAAAUGAACAGAAAAAAAUGUUAGUUUCAAUAAAUUUUAUGUUUUAAAACGUUUUUCAUUCGCCUGAAAAUGGGUGGUAUUCUACGUCAUAACAUGCGUACUACCUAGAGCUAAAGAAUAAAAAGCUUACAAACUCACUACACAUAAACACACUUAGAGACCAUUCUACAGUUCAGAUAUGGUCAUGCCGCGAGGGUAGUGCACUACAGCACUAAUUCAAUGACGAGGCAUUUGGCUUUUUUUAAACGCUAGCUCAUCUACCCAUAUACAAAAAUAAUAAAAUUAAGUUAGGGUACAUGACUGGUCCCUGAAAGUAUUACGCCUGUAUGCAGGCGGUACCAAAAACCACCGACGGCCUCCUUUUUUGUCACCCGACUCCUCUGCGAAUUCCAGGUCCGAUCGCGGUGCUGACAUUAAAGAUGUUGAAUGCUGCCAGUCCACCUAUGAGAACCAUGGAGGACAUAGUUUUUAAGUCCUUUUGGACAAAAUCCUAGCCGCUCAGAACCCGUGAUGAGCAAGGGAACCAAACCCUUUCCAAUGAAUUGUGGCUGACGUAAAGGAGAUGUUGUUCACCGGAAUCCCGUACUCUCCAGACACAAACUUGGUAAUCUCCGCAUUACCUUGGUAAUAACGGACCUUGUUGCUGUGAGCAGACCUUAAAUCCAUCUUCUCGCCAACAACCUGCGCAUCUAUGACUAUCGCACCUUGAUCUUUGGUUGUGACCAGAUCAGGAGUCAUCGCAUAUAGGUUAGUGUCAUCCACAAAGGCAGAAGCGUUCGUAAACUUUUUUCCAACUCUAACCCCCACUUCCCUGAAAGACGAGCUAACAGUCCAUGGUUUAGGAGAUUAAAGAUUAGUGGAGUCAAAGGAUCAAUCUGUUGGACACCCCGUUUGGGGUCAACCCUGCCCCUAUAUAAUAGGGUAACCGUUAUGAUAAACACCCGCGACAUAGCCUGUGUUAAAACACUUGACCAGUAGGUUUCCAUGUCAUUGAUAUCAUCCCGCAUCAUCUUUCGUAUAUGUUGCUUAAUACCGCCUCGGAACAAACAUACCUUCGCGCAUCUUUCGAAUUCACAUGGGAAUCUCACGGGAACGAGGCUAUCGUUAAUAGUUGGGGGUGAUGAAUCAGUGGAUCCACCACAAUUGUCUUCCUAACUUUAAUUAUAGUGCUAUGUUGGAGCAGAAGCCCAGCAAAGUACUUCACCGACUCACUUUUCCCCUAAACAAGAGCUUGGGCGCCUAGCAAACCUCCGCUAGGUGGAGUACGGCAAUACAAAAUGAAUUUGCAAAUCCAUAAGGCACGUAAUCACCCAAGUACCAGCUCAGCACAAAGCGGGGUCACUACUCCCCGACGGGUAUAAGAGAGUCACAGUUACUCCCGCCGUUUACUAGCGUUUGCGGGUAAAAUCUUCACGUUGACAUUCUGUGAACUUUCGCAGCAUCCACCUCGGUUUUAGUGAAGAUGAAACUGGACGCGUCCAUUUUUCACCAGGGAUAAUAAGAACCACAGGUCGAAGAGGCUCAACAAUAGCGUUUCCUAUUGCCUUUCUCUUUGCGGCGCGUUACAAUUGUGAACUGCCUCUCACGGGUGAGCACCGCUGUCAGCUUCUCCAACGCCACCGCGGAAGCAUCAGUGGCGGUCGCCGGGCUGAAUUUGCUUUAGAAUGUGACAUUAAUGAGCUAUGCACAAAACAGCAUCGAUCAAUAUUAACCCUGGCCACAGAAGGGUUAAAUGGUGUUUCACAUAGGAUCAGUGCACUUUUUUACAUUUUGUCAUCUUCUAAAGUCAAAAGUGAAUUUUAUUUCAUCACCUUCUGAUUCUUUGCUGUCGAAGAGAAAUCUUAAUAUUAAGACAAGUCAACAUGACAAUGGAAUAUCUUCAUUGCAAAAGCUUAAGAAUUACUAUUUCAAACAAAUAGUUCUCUUAAAAUUGUGUGUUGGAGAAAUGCCAAUAAAUCUAAACACCACUACCAUGAGUGCAAUUUGUUCUGAAACUGAAGAAACCAUCCAAUUCAAAUUCAAUUACAUAGAAAAAAAAUCUACUAAAUGUAUUAAAAAAUUUAUAAGCUGCAUGCAUUGUGAAAAAUAUAAAUACUGUAACUAUGAAUGUAAAAAUAAUGUUAGGAUGUUAAAUAAUAGUCGAUUUAAUUUUUAUAAAAUGUCAAAAAAAUGUUUAAUGUGAAUGUGUAAAAUCUUUUAUUGACAAAAUCUGUUGUUGUAGAUUACAAUACUAAAAAAGUUAAAUGUUUAAUUAUAAUACAUGCUUUACAAUUAUUGUAUUGUGAUUUGUUUUAUACUAAAAUGUUUCAUCAGGGUACCGAGUUUUAUAAAAUUUCCCGAUCAAAUUUUUAUCAACAAUUAAACACUAUUAUGAACGAAAAAACAUAAAGACAAACAAAGACGUUUAAAUUAAAUUCUUUUCAAUUCUAUUAUUUUGUAUAGACUGCCAAUAACCUACAUUGUUGCUGGGAUGUUUCUGAACAAACAUCCUGACGGACAGAAAAUUUUAUUUUAACUUUUAAGCGCUUUUAAGUGGUAGCAGCCACAGCAAUAUUAUUACAGUCGGGUCCCCAUACUGUUACAUUUUCAGAAAUUUCCCACUUCUCCAGACUCAGCUCUGUUAUGUGCUCAAAUUAUGCUUACUGCGCACCUUUCAGGAACGUAAAUAUAUACACCUCAAGUUUGGCCUAGAAGUAUAUGCACCCUUUUCCUUUGUCUUAAGAAUACGGCCCUGAAAAUUAGUGACGUAACGUGACGUCACCUAACACUUCUGAACUUGGAGGUUAUGCAAAAACAUAACACUACUGAGGACAUAACAGUUUGGAAUCUAACAGUAUAGGGACCCGACUGUAAUUG